Molecule: ribosomal RNA, 662 nt
Filed under: uncultured organism
Description: bacterial SSU rRNA
Rfam family: Bacterial small subunit ribosomal RNA
Source: RNAcentral
GGCUUAGAGUUUGAUCAUGGCUCAGGAUGAACGCUGGCGGCGUGCCUAACACAUGCAAGUCGAACGAAGCGCUUUACUUUGAUUUCUUCGGGAUGAAGAGUUUUGUGACUGAGUGGCGGACGGGUGAGUAACGCGUGGGUAACCUGCCUCAUACAGGGGGAUAACAGUUAGAAAUGACUGCUAAUACCGCAUAAGACCACAGCUUCGCAUGGAGCAGUGGUAAAAACUCCGGUGGUAUGAGAUGGACCCGCGUCUGAUUAGCUAGUUGGUAAGGUAAGGGCUUACCAAGGCGACGAUCAGUAGCCGGCCUGAGAGGGUGGACGGCCACAUUGGGACUGAGACACGGCCCAAACUCCUACGGGAGGCAGCAGUGGGGAAUAUUGCACAAUGGGGGAAACCCUGAUGCAGCGACGCCGCGUGAGCGAAGAAGUAUUUCGGUAUGUAAAGCUCUAUCAGCAGGGAAGAAACUGACGGUACCUGACUAAGAAGCACCGGCUAAAUACGUGCCAGCAGCCGCGGUAAUACGUAUGGUGCAAGCGUUAUCCGGAUUUACUGGGUGUAAAGGGAGCGUAGACGGAUAGGCAAGUCUGGAGUGAAAACCCGGGGCUCAACCCCGGGACUGCUUUGGAAACUGUUUAUCUAGAGUGCUGGAGAGGUAAGUG